UAGUAAUCGUGGAUCAGCAUGCCACGGUGAAUACGUUCCCGGGUCUUGUACACACCGCCCGUCACACCAUGGGAGUCGGUAACACCCGAAGUCAGUAGUCUAACCGCAAGGAGGACGCUGCCGAAGGUGGGAUUGACGACUGGGGUGAAGUCGUAACAAGGUACC
RNAcentral lists this ribosomal RNA (165 nucleotides) under uncultured bacterium. RNAcentral describes it as "partial 16S ribosomal RNA". It matches the Rfam family "Bacterial small subunit ribosomal RNA", at positions 1336 to 1500 of the family's 1533-position model. The record is from RNAcentral.